GACUGUUUUGCGCUAUGGCAGUACGUUCGGAAGUGUUGGCUCACGUGCUGCCGAACGACUGCUGCUUUAUUUGCCAUGUCAAAGCGGGGAGGGUGGAUGAGGGAGUAAGGAGACCGAUGUAAAGGGCACUUUCUGCAGUGUCCAAGGGGCAGUUGCCAAUCAGCCAUUUAUGGAACACCUACUGUGUGUGUCAGACACUUACCGAGGUUUUGGAAUGGUCAUCUCUGCCUCCAUGAGAGUUUAUAGUCUAAAGAGGCAGAUUAACCAAGUGCCUUUAUUGCUUUUGGCCUCCCCUCCUCCCCUUCGCCAUAGAUGGAGAUUUCUCUCCCCGAACCGUGAGCCAUUUGGUCGUCCCCGCCUGGCUCUGGCGCAGAGACCGGGCGCCACGGCGUCGGUGCCAACCUCGUCUCCCAGGGGAGUGUAGUGACGGGCGCGGACCGGUGCCGCGGUCACGUGAGGGCGGAGCUUGGCGAGCGCGCGACUUCCCGCUAGGCCGGCUCUCCGCUUGCCCCCUCGGACCCAGAGCUUCAUCACCAGCUUUUAUUGGGCACGUGGCGGCUGAUGCACAAUAAAUAGGAAUGACUCUGGGCAGCCACGCUGCUUAGGUGGGGACCACACUUCUCGAGAGACCAAACUGCCCGAAGCGAGGCCUAAGAGCUGUAAGUACGUGGAAACAAGUACAAAGCUCCCUCCCAGCCGGACUUGAGGGGGACCUAGCGCCUUCUGCAAAUCAAACCAACAGGAAGCAAUAAAUCCUGGGCCUCCAGACUGAUCUGAACUAGACCUAGCAGGGAACUCCGAGUCCCUGUGGAAAGAACCUGAGAGCCACCUCUUCCUUUUAGGGCUUGGGUUUACCAACUGUGAAAUAGGGCAGCAGACUCAAUGUGCCCCUUAAGCGAGCAGGGACACAAAAUUAUUUAACUCUGCAAACAGAAACAAGCAGUCUGUAUUGGCUCCAGUAGGAGCCACUUUGAGGCCUGGGGUGGGGUCGCCUUAUGUCCCUUUCACAUCCGCUGGCUGUUCCUGAAACAAGUUUCCACAAUCACAAGGCUGGAAAAGUUACUCAGCCCAUGGGACUGAAGAGUGAGUCAGAAGAACAUGAGCUACAGGGAACUGGCCUGGCCUCCUUCGCUGGAACAAUCAGAUACCACCCUUCGCUUCCUGCCUCCCAAGAUCCAUCUCUUGGGGAGUAUGAGCCUCGUGGGUGCUAAUUCUUCAGUGGACCAAUAGCUAAACCUAGGAAACGAAGGCGCACCGGCUUCUCAACACCACUGCAUGUAGCGCUCCUUCAGGAGCUGGUCCUGGAGUUGGAAAGAAGCUGCAGAAAGGCCACCACGCCCAUGAAGAAAAAAAUCCUUCAGGAAACUCCCGUAUCUUCAAAUCCAGCUCAAAACACCUCCUCCAAGAAGCCUCUGCUGGUCUCUACUGGCUUGGAUUUGGGCGUGCCUCACCUUUGAUCCCACAGCCCACUCAUAUCCUUUCUAUGAGAUAUUUAACACAGGCUGCUGACUCAAGUGUUAACUGUUGGUUCACUUGGCUCCCCAACAAACUGAGUUGCCUGAAAGCAGAUAGAUGUACCUACCAUUCCUCUCUAAAUCUCCAGUGCCUAAUAAAGGGUUUCACACAAAGUAGGUGCUUAGUACAUGUCUGUUGCAUUUUAGACAAGAAUGGCAUGAAGGAUCUGUUAAGGAACUGGGCUUCCUGGUCAGCCUCAGAGUCCAAGGGAUGCACAGCAGGGGUACAUGGGCUAAGCCUGGAAAAGAGUGUGUUGGCUCUUUGAAGGCCCUGGGCAGGCCAAGGAGUUUGGGCUUUAUACAGUGGGCAGUCCUUGAGGUGUUAAGAUGACCAGAGCUGUGCCAAGGAUGAGAGGGCGGACUGGAGGACAGGAGGCUGGGGUGAGGGAAUAGGCAGCUCCAAUCACUCCAUCACAGUUGAUGAAACAGUGACUCAGCAAGAUUGUGGCUCUGCAACUCCAAUUCCACAGCCACACAACUGGUGUGGCAGAACUAGGAGUUGAACCAGUUCUGGACUGUGCCAAGUGCAGAGCUCUUUGUAUCUCACCACAAGGAGUAUGCAGUAAAUGGGGCUUCAGGGUUGUCCAAGUGUGAAUGGAUACUCCUUCAGUCAGGAUAGGAUAGGUUAGAUUGCAGACACAAUACUGAAAUCUGUGUGGCUUAACACAUUUAUUUUCUGUUCACACAAAGUCCACUGUGGUGCUGGACACCACCUUAAGGCAGCUGAGCAAUCCAGGCUGCUCUGAUGUACUUCCACAGUUCCCACAGUAGGGGAAGAGCACUUGGAAAUCAUGUCCCAGCUUGAUUUCUGAAGUGACACACAUUACUUGCCAUUACAGUCUCGGCCAGAACAAGUCCAGUAACCUUGCUUGACUAGAGUGACUGGGAAACAGUCUUCUGUGUGUCCAGGAAGGGGAAGAGAACAAGAGAUAUUUGUGGGCAGCAGUACUGCCUGAACUCAGGACAUCAGGGGGCGGCGCCUACAGAGAAGGAGGGGCAGGCCAAACAGUCUGAGGAACUGAUAGGAGAGGUACAAAGAGAGAGAGGCUUUGCGUAGGAUUUGCGUGUUAGGUCAGGGCUGUUCUGGUCACUCCAUGGGCAUAGGAGAGCGGAGCGUAUAUCACAUCAGUGGGUUCUCAACUGUAGCAAUGUGUCGGGAAGCUCAAGAGACUCCUAAGGACAGAAGAGAGGAGGACCUCAUUCAACAGGCUGAUGGGAGGCCUCAGUUCUGUCCCAGGCCUCUCCACAGAGCUGCUUCAGUGUCUUGGCAAGGCAUCUGCUUCCCCCAGGGCAAAUGAUGAGAGGGGUGGAAGCCAGGACUUCACCUCAGAAGUCGCAUACCAUCACUUUUGCCGCAUUUUAUUGGUCAUAUGUACCAAACGUGACUCACCGUGACAGAGGCUUGCAUAAGGACAUUAGGACCAGAUUGGGUAACUAGAGACCAGCUGAGAAGCUGCUGCCCAGGCACCAGCAGGGGAGCCUCAUCUGGAGGUUAGUGUUUUCUUAAACCCUUGCUGCCAAGCUCAUCUUUUAUCUGUGAGGUGAAGUCUGCAAUGAGCCUAAGAAGGAGGCAGGACUGGUCCUGAUCACAUUUUACAGAUGAGGAACCCAAGGCAUGAAGACGUUCUGUGGCGCCUGACUCCGAAGCGCCCUCGCUGCAGCCUGCAUGUGCCGGGACCACAGCAUUUGCCAUGCAGCGAAGGCCUCUGUGACACAUGCAUGUGGGCCUGCUUCACUCCAUCUUUGCCUCCACAGCACCCAGCAUGGGCCGGAGACAAGAGUGGCCGAAACCCUGUUAGUGAUCCCUCCUAUGGCUUCUAGCCCGAUAGCCCUCCCUGAUCCUGGGACUGCCCCUGCUUCCGAUUGUGCACCUGGAGGAAAUUUUCACCUGGUAACUCCACCUCAGACACCUUAAAGUGCCCACCCCACAGGCUAACCGCCAUUCCUUCCUGU
Molecule: non-coding RNA, 3467 nt
Organism: Manis javanica (Malayan pangolin)
Lineage: Eukaryota; Metazoa; Chordata; Mammalia; Pholidota; Manidae
Source: RefSeq, a predicted model, not a curated record